This 418-nucleotide ribosomal RNA is filed under the name uncultured soil bacterium. Its description in RNAcentral is "bacterial SSU rRNA". It matches the Rfam family "Bacterial small subunit ribosomal RNA", at positions 8 to 440 of the family's 1533-position model. The record is from RNAcentral.
AGAGUUUGAUCCUGGCUCAGAAUCAACGCUGGCGGCGCGCUUAACACAUGCAAGUCGAGCGAGAAAGGGGAGCAAUCCCUGAGUAAAGCGGCGUACGGGUGAGUAACGCGUGGGUAAUCUACCUUUUUGUGGGGAAUAACCCUGGGAAACCGGGGCUAAUGCCGCAUAAUCCUGUGAAGGGAAAGCAGCAAUGCGCUGAAAGAGGAGCCCGCGGCCGAUUAGCUAGUUGGUGAGGUAAUGGCCCACCAAGGCGACGAUCGGUAGCCGGCCUGAGAGGGCACACGGCCACACUGGCACUGAAACACGGGCCAGACUCCUACGGGAGGCAGCAGUGGGGAAUCUUGCACAAUGGGGGAAACCCUGAUGCAGCGACGCCGCGUGAGCGAUGAAGCCCCUCGGGGUGUAAAGCUCUUUCGGC